AUUGAACGCUGGCGGCAGGCCUAACACAUGCAAGUCGAGCGGAUGAAGGGAGCUUGCUCCUGGAUUCAGCGGCGGACGGGUGAGUAAUGCCUAGGAAUCUGCCUGGUAGUGGGGGAUAACGUCCGGAAACGGGCGCUAAUACCGCAUACGUCCUGAGGGAGAAAGUGGGGGAUCUUCGGACCUCACGCUAUCAGAUGAGCCUAGGUCGGAUUAGCUAGUUGGUGGGGUAAAGGCCUACCAAGGCGACGAUCCGUAACUGGUCUGAGAGGAUGAUCAGUCACACUGGAACUGAGACACGGUCCAGACUCCUACGGGAGGCAGCAGUGGGGAAUAUUGGACAAUGGGCGAAAGCCUGAUCCAGCCAUGCCGCGUGUGUGAAGAAGGUCUUCGGAUUGUAAAGCACUUUAAGUUGGGAGGAAGGGCAGUAAGUUAAUACCUUGCUGUUUUGACGUUACCAACAGAAUAAGCACCGCUAA
RNAcentral lists this ribosomal RNA (476 nucleotides) under Pseudomonas aeruginosa. Its description in RNAcentral is "bacterial SSU rRNA". It matches the Rfam family "Bacterial small subunit ribosomal RNA", at positions 30 to 500 of the family's 1533-position model. The record is from RNAcentral. Lineage: Bacteria; Pseudomonadati; Pseudomonadota; Gammaproteobacteria; Pseudomonadales; Pseudomonadaceae.